GGAGAAUGUAACUGUGAAACCAGAACCCGACGACGGUUACCGGAUCCAUGUAGGGACGCCGGAGGUGUAGAUGAUGAGAAGACAUGUACACCCGACGAAAGCGCCUGCGCUCACGUAAUGAUGUUUGCUGUAAUCGGUUCGGUUUUGGGAUUUCUUACGUUGCUUCUGAUCGUCGUUGGGGCUGUCUGCUGUAUUAGACACAAUCAGCCGCCCGCCCCUACAGUUAACAUCGAAAUGCCUUCCCGACAAAUAACCACUGCCAAUGAACUUUUUGGAAGUAUAAUUACACUGGAGACUUCCGGAGGAAUGAACGAGUUUCAAG
This is a long non-coding RNA of Liolophura sinensis, 322 nucleotides long. RefSeq lists it as uncharacterized. Lineage: Eukaryota; Metazoa; Mollusca; Polyplacophora; Chitonida; Chitonidae. The transcript is spliced from 3 exons. The record is from RefSeq and is a predicted model, not a curated record.